CCCGCACAAGCGGUGAGUAUGUGGUUUAAUUCGACGCAACGCGCAGAACCUUACCUAGACUUGACAUCCCGGGGAUUUUCUGGAAACAGAGAAGUGCUUUAGCAAUAAAGAACCCGGUGACAGGUGCUGCAUGGCUGUCGUCAGCUCGUGUCGUGAGAUGUUGGGUUAAGUCCCGCAACGAGCGCAACCCUCGCCUUUAGUUGCCAGCAUUCAGUUGGGCACUCUAGAGGGACUGCCGGUGUCAAACCGGAGGAAGGUGGGAUGACGUCAAGUCCUCAUGGCCUUUAUGUCUAGGGCUACACACGUACUACAAUGGCCGGUACAAAGGGCAGCCACUCAGCGAUGAGGCGCUAAUCCCAUAAAGCCGGUCUCAGUCCGGAUCGCAGUCUGCAACUCGACUGCGUGAAGUUGGAAUCGCUAGUAAUCGUAGAUCAGCAUGCUACGGUGAAUACGUUCCCGGGCCUU
RNAcentral lists this ribosomal RNA (465 nucleotides) under uncultured Desulfovibrio sp. Its description in RNAcentral is "bacterial SSU rRNA". It matches the Rfam family "Bacterial small subunit ribosomal RNA", at positions 920 to 1382 of the family's 1533-position model. The record is from RNAcentral. Lineage: Bacteria; Pseudomonadati; Thermodesulfobacteriota; Desulfovibrionia; Desulfovibrionales; Desulfovibrionaceae.